AGAGGCCUACCAUGGUGGUAACGGGUAACGGGGUGUUAGGGCACGACACCGGAGAGGGAGCCUGAGAAACGGCUACCACAUCCAAGGAUGGCAGCAGGCGCGCAAAUUACCCAAUCCCGACACGGGGAGGUAGUGACAAUAAAUAACAAUACGGGGUUCUUUAGGAUCUCGUAAUUGGAAUGAGUACAAUUUAAAUCUCUUAACGAGGAACAAUUGGAGGGCAAGUCUGGUGCCAGCAGCCGCGGUAAUUCCAGCUCCAAUAGCGUAUAUUAAAGUUGUUGCAGUUAAAAAGCUCGUAGUUGAAUUUCGGGGUUAGUAGGUUGGUCAUGCCUCUGGUAUGUACUGGUCUCACUGAUUCCUCCUUCCUUAUGAACCGUAAUGCCAUUAAUUUGGUGUUGCGGGGAAUUUGGACUGUUACUUUGAAAAAAUUAGAGUGUUUAAAGCAAGCUAACGCUUGAAUACAUUAGCAUGGAAUAAUGAAAUAGGACGUUCGAUCUUAUUUUGUUGGUUUCCAGGAUUGACGUAAUGAUUAAUAGGGAUAGUUGGGGCAUUAGUAUUCAAUUGUCAGAGGUGAAAUUCUUGGAUUUAUUGAAGACUAACUACUGCGAAAGCAUUUGCCAAGGAUGUUUUCAUUAAUCAAGAACGAAAGUUAGGGGAUCGAAGACGAUCAGAUACCGUCGUAGUCUUAACCAUAAACUAUGCCGACUAGGGAUCGGAUGA
RNAcentral lists this ribosomal RNA (720 nucleotides) under uncultured fungus. RNAcentral describes it as "SSU rRNA". It matches the Rfam family "Eukaryotic small subunit ribosomal RNA", at positions 335 to 1060 of the family's 1831-position model. The record is from RNAcentral. Lineage: Eukaryota; Fungi.